RNAcentral lists this ribosomal RNA (472 nucleotides) under Pattersoniomyces tillandsiae. RNAcentral describes it as "LSU rRNA". It matches the Rfam family "Eukaryotic large subunit ribosomal RNA", at positions 120 to 593 of the family's 3401-position model. The record is from RNAcentral. Lineage: Eukaryota; Fungi; Basidiomycota; Ustilaginomycetes; Ustilaginales.
AGCUGGCGUCUUCGGCGUCCGCAUUGUAAUCUCAAGAAGUGUUUUCCGCUUCGGACCAAGCCUAAGUCCCUUGGAAAAGGGCAUCGUAGAGGGUGAAAAUCCCGUACAUGGUUUGGAGCGCCCGGAGCUUUGUGAUACGCUUUCUAAGAGUCGAGUUGUUUGGGAAUGCAGCUCAAAAUGGGUGGUAAAUGCCAUCUAAGGCUAAAUAUUGGGGAGAGACCGAUAGCGAACAAGUACAGUGAUGGAAAGAUGAAAAGAACUUUGAAAAGAGAGUUAAACAGUACGUGAAAUUGCCAAAAGGGAAGGGUAGGAGGUCAGAGAUGCGGUCUGGGAUUCAGCCUUGCUUUUGCUUGGUGUUUUUCCCAGUUUGCAGGCCAACGUCGGUUUUGGGCACUGGAGAAGGGUGGGAGGAACGUGGCACUCUUCGGAGUGUGUUAUAGCCUCCUACUGGAUACAGCGACCGAGACCGAGG